GAAACCUGACGUCAUCGCGGCGACCGUGGAGACUUUUAAAAUAGAGGUCAACAUGACCGGGCAAGAAGAGCAGGGUCCUUCCUUCAGGUGUUUGGGACUCAACUGAGGGUGUGGGUGCCCCGCGGGGGGGCUGAACCUUCCUGGGGUGUGGAGAGACGAAAGGAGCCCAGAUCCAAGUUCCUUCGUUCCCGCUUUGGCACAAGUUGCCCGGGCGGUCUCAUGAGAGAGAGAGAGCUGGGACCCUCCUGGCCCCAGUGAGUGUGGUGUCUUGCUCCGGGUGUCCUGGGGCAACUUUCUAUAUAAAGGCGGGACGUGGGGAGGAUGAGACAGUUAACGUGAGACAAGGGUGUUGACUGUGCAGCGCAGAACCAGUAGUUUGUAGAGAAGAACCAGGUGUGAUGUUGAAUCUGCUAGACAGGCUACUGAAGCAAAAGUCAAGAGAUCCAGAUCCCAUCAUGGGGACACUUUAGUGAGAACCUCCUCAGCUUGGUUUCUGAAUCUUUUUGACAUGCUUUCUGGUAUGAUAAUUUGGUCCAGGCUUAUCUGGUACAAUCCUGACCCCAGAUCUGGAAUCAGCUGUCUCUCUAAUACAGCCUGGUUUCUUUUCAUGAUUGAUACCGGAAAAGCCAUUUCCUAUUGAGCCCAAAAUGAAGAGAGUGCAAAUAAAGAGAAGGCAGGAAUCACAAGCCCUUGACAGACACAUUGCCACCUACAGGACCCUGCACCCAGAUUUCAUCUGCACAAUCAGCUUCUUCAAAGAGAGAGAGGCUGUCGAGUUAGUACCCAUGAGGGCACAAUACUAGAAAUGUGUAAAACUAUAAGUUUUUAAGUCCUAGAAAGUCAUCAUCUAUAAAGGAGACUUUUGGGUAUGCUUUGGGGAGGUUAAGCGGUAGAAUCCCAUUUCUGCUCCUUAUUAGAUGAGUCUGAAAAAAUUGAUUUUCCAUGAGUGAGUUUGAUUUUGUCAUCUGUAAAAUGAGAAUAAUGAUGUCUUCCUCACAGAGUCAUUGUGAGAAAAUUAUGCAAAAAUGUAAUUGUACAUGUUUAUAUAUGUGUCAUAAAAAAUAGGUGCCCUUUUGCACUUUUUUUCUCUUAAA
Non-coding RNA from Chlorocebus sabaeus (green monkey), 1094 nucleotides. The record is from RefSeq and is a predicted model, not a curated record. Lineage: Eukaryota; Metazoa; Chordata; Mammalia; Primates; Cercopithecidae.